CCUACGGGGGGCAGCAGUGGGGAAUAUUGGACAAUGGGGGCAACCCUGAUCCAGCCAUGCCGCGUGUGUGAAGAAGGCCCUCGGGUUGUAAAGCACUUUCAGUGAUGAAGAACGCCUGGUGGUUAAUACCCAUCAGGAAAGACAUCACUCACAGAAGAAGCACCGGCUAACUCCGUGCCAGCAGCCGCGGUAAUACGGAGGGUGCGAGCGUUAAUCGGAAUUAAUGGGCGUAAAGCGCGCGUAGGUGGCUUGAUAAGCCGGUUGUGAAAGCCCCGGGCUCAACCUGGGAACGGCAUCCGGAACUGUCAAGCUAGAGUGCAGGAGAGGAAGGUAGAAUUCCCGGUGUAGCGGUGAAAUGCGUAGAGAUCGGGAGGAAUACCAGUGGCGAAGGCGGCCUUCUGGACUGACACUGACACUGAGGUGCGAAAGCGUGGGUAGCAAACAGGAUUAGAUACCCCGGUAGUC
This 465-nucleotide ribosomal RNA is filed under the name Vreelandella stevensii. RNAcentral describes it as "partial 16S ribosomal RNA". It matches the Rfam family "Bacterial small subunit ribosomal RNA", at positions 338 to 795 of the family's 1533-position model. Lineage: Bacteria; Pseudomonadati; Pseudomonadota; Gammaproteobacteria; Oceanospirillales; Halomonadaceae. The record is from RNAcentral.